AACGAACGCUGGCGGCAGGCCUAACACAUGCAAGUCGAGCGGACCUUUCGGGGUCAGCGGCGGACGGGUGCGUAACGCGUGGGAAUAUGCCCUUCUCUACGGAAUAGUCCUGGGAAACUGGGGGUAAUACCGUAUACGCCCUUUGGGGGAAAGAUUUAUCGGGGUAGGAUUAGCCCGCGUUGGAUUAGGUAGUUGGUGGGGUAAUGGCCUACCAAGCCGACGAUCCAUAGCUGGUUUGAGAGGAUGAUCAGCCACACUGGGACUGAGACACGGCCCAGACUCCUACGGGAGGCAGCAGUGGGGAAUCUUAGACAAUGGGGGCAACCCUGAUCUAGCCAUGCCGCGUGAGUGAUGAAGGCCUUAGGGUUGUAAAGCUCUUUCAGCUGGGAAGAUAAUGACGGUACCAGCAGAAGAAGCCCCGGCUAACUCCGUG
RNAcentral lists this ribosomal RNA (433 nucleotides) under uncultured bacterium. Its description in RNAcentral is "partial 16S ribosomal RNA". It matches the Rfam family "Bacterial small subunit ribosomal RNA", at positions 29 to 507 of the family's 1533-position model. The record is from RNAcentral.